This 260-nucleotide long non-coding RNA is filed under the name Nicotiana benthamiana. Its description in RNAcentral is "long non-coding RNA (NBEN_LNC001403)". Lineage: Eukaryota; Viridiplantae; Streptophyta; Magnoliopsida; Solanales; Solanaceae. The record is from RNAcentral.
UAUAUGGAAUUCCAAGGAUCCAAUUCCAAUCCACAACCAUAAACUUUACAGAAAUGAUUCUCUUUUAAACAAACGGAAGGCACAAACUUUGCAAACCGUUAAAAAAACUAAUGAGAACGUUAAACUCACAAUAACAUCAUAAACUGUAAGCAGAUCUAGAAUGUCAACACUCCUGCAUAUUCCAUUAAUAAAUAAAUAAAAACUUGCAUCAAUCUGCAACUCUGCUUGACCAGGCACAUCCAUUUACGUAGCUGAGAACU